CCUACGGGAGGCAGCAGUGGGGAAUAUUGGGCAAUGGGCGCAAGCCUGACCCAGCAACGCCGCGUGAAGGAAGAAGGCCCUCGGGUUGUAAACUUCUUUUGUCAGGGACGAAACAAAUGACGGUACCUGACGAAUAAGCCACGGCUAACUACGUGCCAGCAGCCGCGGUAAUACGUAGGUGGCAAGCGUUAUCCGGAUUUAUUGGGUGUAAAGGGCGUGUAGGCGGGGGCGCAAGUCCGAUGUGAAAACUCAGGGCUCAACCCUGAGCCUGCAUUUGAAACUGUGUUUCUUGAGUGCUGGGGAGGCAAUCGGAAUUCCGUGUGUAGCGGUGAAAUGCGUAGAUAUACGGAGGAACACCAGUGGCGAAGGCGGAUUGCUGGACAGUAACUGACGCUGAGGCGCGAAAGCGUGGGGAGCAAACAGGAUUAGAUACCCCAGUAGUC
RNAcentral lists this ribosomal RNA (443 nucleotides) under uncultured bacterium. RNAcentral describes it as "partial 16S ribosomal RNA". It matches the Rfam family "Bacterial small subunit ribosomal RNA", at positions 338 to 795 of the family's 1533-position model. The record is from RNAcentral.